UGGAUCCAGACUUUGAUUAUGGCUCAGGACGAACGCUGGCGGCGCGCCUAACACAUGCAAGUCGAACGAGAGAUGAAGAGCUUGCUCUCCAAAUCGAGUGGCGAACGGAUGAGUAACGCGUGAGGAACCUGCCUCAAAGAGGGGGACAACAGUUGGAAACGACUGCUAAUACCGCAUAAGCCCACGGCUCGGCAUCGAGCAGAGGGAAAAGGAGCAAUCCGCUUUGAGAUGGCCUCGCGUCCGAUUAGCUAGUUGGUGAGGUAACGGCCCACCAAGGCGACGAUCGGUAGCCGGACUGAGAGGUUGAACGGCCACAUUGGGACUGAGACACGGCCCAGACUCCUACGGGAGGCAGCAGUGGGGAAUAUUGCACAAUGGGGGAAACCCUGAUGCAGCGACGCCGCGUGGAGGAAGAAGGUCUUCGGAUUGUAAACUCCUGUUGUUGAGGAAGAUAAUGACGGUACUCAACAAGGAAGUGACGGCUAACUACGUGCCAGCAGCCGCGGUAAAACGUAGGUCACAAGCGUUGUCCGGAAUUACUGGGUGUAAAGGGAGCGCAGGCGGGAGAACAAGUUGGAAGUGAAAUCCACGGGCUCAACCCAUGAACUGCUUUCAAAACUGUUUUUCUUGAGUAGUGCAGAGGUAGGCGGAAUUCCCGGUGUAGCGGUGGAAUGCGUAGAUAUCGGGAGGAACACCAGUGGCGAAGGCGGCCUACUGGGCACCAACUGACGCUGAGGCUCGAAAGUGUGGGUAGCAAACAGGAUUAGAUACCCUGGUAGUCCACACCGUAAACGAUGAUUACUAGGUGUUGGAGGAUUGACCCCUUCAGUGCCGCAGUUAACACAAUAAGUAAUCCACCUGGGGAGUACGACCGCAAGGUUGCAACUCAAAGGAAUUGACGGA
Molecule: ribosomal RNA, 903 nt
Filed under: uncultured Bacillota bacterium
Lineage: Bacteria; Bacillati; Bacillota
Description: bacterial SSU rRNA
Rfam family: Bacterial small subunit ribosomal RNA
Source: RNAcentral